AGGGAGUAUCAAUAUUUCUCACACCGAGGCGGAUAACAGUAAGCUGAAUCAGACAGUGUUCAUCGGGAGGCUUGUUGGCCUGCUGCUGACACUGGCAUCUUUCCUAGCAGCUAUCUGCUUCGUCAGAAAGGGCUCAGAAACCAGCUGGCCAGGAGAAUACAGACCUUGAGUACUACAACCUUGGUGCCCCAACAGCAGAAAUGCCAAACACCCAAACAGGGACUGAGGCAACAGAUCUCUUAAGAGUUGCAAAUACAUUCGCUUGUUUUGUUGUUUUUCUUUUUUUCAAUUGAUAAGCCAUCACCACUAAAAAAUUCUUCCUUUGAAAAAAUAUUAAAAUAACACAUGAAGAACCUUUCACCAGUGGAAAACAAUUGGCACAUUGUAAAAUGGAAAAUCCAGCAAAGAUGAUACUCUACAGUUUAGCAGCUAGAAUCCCACAUCAAACAAGAAUGGGACAACAUUCCUCUCCCAAAUCUGGUCUCCUCACAUCCCAGACCUUAACAGACUGUUGUUAAAACAAGAGGGAAUGCUACACAAUGAUAAACACGGCCCUGUUCUUACUUUCUGAGAUGUGUUUCUGCCAUCAAAUUCAGAAUAAGCUAAUAUUGUUCAUGAAAUGUUCAAGUGUCUUAUUUCAACAUCUGUUCUUUUCAUUCUAUUGUGUAUGCAAUAUUUUUAUGAGGUUUGCUAAUUAUUGCAUUCUGUUUUUGUUUACAUUUUACACAGUGCCCCAACUAUUUUGGAUUUGGACUUGUGAUUUUAAAUGUAAAUGUUGUAUUUUUAUGUAAAGAGGGGUAUGUAACAUAGCAAUAUUAUGACUCUGGUAAAAAGUAAUUUUCCAGAAAUGGAGACUAGUAACCACUG
Long non-coding RNA from Cheilinus undulatus (humphead wrasse), 867 nucleotides. RefSeq lists it as uncharacterized. The record is from RefSeq and is a predicted model, not a curated record. The transcript has 3 exons. Lineage: Eukaryota; Metazoa; Chordata; Actinopteri; Labriformes; Labridae.